Molecule: long non-coding RNA, 3811 nt
Filed under: Citrus maxima (pomelo)
Lineage: Eukaryota; Viridiplantae; Streptophyta; Magnoliopsida; Sapindales; Rutaceae
Description: long non-coding RNA (CMAX_LNC002363)
Source: RNAcentral
UUUAUUCAAGUCCUAUCUAAUUGGCCACUCAAAUAAAACAAGAAUAAACCAUGAACAUUAAUUAUAGAAGAACAUAAACAAUCUCAAUUAAAUAAAUUGAAUGAUAGAAUUUAAAUUUAAUUGCAUAGCAUGUUUAGGGUUUUGAAUUCACCCUCAACCAAAUAAAAAUCUAGCCUAACAUAAUUGAAUUGGGAAUAAGAGAAUUGAUAAAACCAGUCAUGGAGAUUAAUUCAAGCGGCUGCCUUUGCUUCAAUUUUAAUUCCUUCCGGCGUCUCCCUUGUUUUUUUCCUUCUUGCAGCUGCAAUCUCAAAUUCUCUUGCUACCGAUUCUCCUCCAGUGUUGCUUCUGCUUGAUCCUAUUUAUAAUGCUUCAAUUGUGGCUUUUUUAAAUCCUUGCCUGGAAAGAAUUAAAUUCAAAGCCCAAAACCGCCACUUUCAUGCUUCAAUUAAUAAGCCAAUAAUGAUUUCCUAAAGCCAAAAGGCUUUAUUCUCUUUCCUUUCAUGUGGCCACUUUUGAUUUGCAAUCUUUGUUUUCCAAUUUUGCUUUCAUGUGAUGGCUUGGCUUGUUAAUUGGCUUGGCUUCCUUUUUGACUUUCAUUUUCUAAUUUUAGCUCCAUGUACAACAUUAAUUUUGCUUGGCCGAUACAAGCUUUAAUUAAAUUUAUUUUCUAAUUCCUUUCAAUUCUUGAUCUCUUGUGCACUUUUGUCUUUCAAUCUUCAAUCAAAUUUCUUUCCUGAAUGCUCCGAUUUAAUUUCUCUUUAAUUCUAGAAUAUACCUAAAAUAACAAAAUAAAUAAAACUAAGAUAAAAAUUAACACAAUAAAAUAUAAUUUACUAAAUUAAAAGUUAACUAAAAUAACUAGAAUAUUUAAGACCAAAACAAGAAAAAGAUAGAGAAAUUAAUAGCAAAAUAUAUGGAAAAUAUGCACUUAUCAGCCAUCACUAGCCAACCAGCCACCAAAAUUGACAGCCGUGCUAGCUACCCACCACCACAAUACCCUACCACUGCCUGCUAAUACUCCACAAAAUCUUCUCAAGACUUCGAGCCACAGUGUCCAGGUCUGCUUUUUCAAGUCUUGCUUUUUUAAGUUUUUAGUAUCAUCAAGUCUUGCUUCUUCAAGUCUUAAAGUGUAUCUUCAGUCACCAAUUAUAUUUAUGGGUAUUCACUGGUUCGUUGAGUAAUUUUUUCAAACAUAUGGGGUAUUGCGUCAUAACAGCCUUGUAUAUUUCUAUAUCUAAUAUUGAAUGAAUGAAUGAAUCUAUGUGUAGCUUACGAUCGAAAUGCAAAAUCAAGAGUAGUAACAAUUAAAGAACAAUUAAAAAUGAAAUGAAAGCAUAUUCACAAGUUGUUUAUUGAUUUACCUUUCAAUAAAUCUCUCUCUCACACUCACACACUCUGCUCUCUAACCUACCUUUUUGACUUGGCUCCCAAAAAAUAAUAAAGUAAAAUUUUGGUCCCAAGAAAGUUUGAUUUCUAAACAAAGGGGAAAAAAAAGUUAAAAGAAAGUAAGAUUUAUUUUACAAAUUUUACGGUGCUUCUCUUUUAGAACUGUAUGUAUAAAUAAUAAUAAUAAUAAUAAUAAUAAUAAUAAUAAUAAUAAUAUGAGUUUCAUAGAAAAUUUAAUUUAUUUGAUCAUGUUCAUUGAUAUGCUUUAACAAUGCUUUAUUAAUUCUAUUAAUUGCACUUCUUAACUCCUACUUAUCAUAUGAUUAACCCCUUAGUUUGGUUGGGAUGAUUGGUACUUUCUAUUUUUAACUUAUGGUGGAGCGUUUGAGUCUUGCGGUGACCUAUUAGUUUGGUUAAGUUGAUCGGCACUUUCUAUCUUUAACUUACGAUGGAGCAUUCGAGUCUGGCAGUAAAUAUAUAUUAGAGUUUAUUUUUUUAUUCGAAGGGAAAAUCUUUAAAUAACAAUAAAAAUAUAAAAUAUUUAUUAGUACAGACCAAUACGGUACACCGUAUUUCCUUCAAACACAAACCAAGGAACUGAAAAUAUUAUUAAUAGAAGUAUAGAACUAGUCGUCAAAAUGGAACGUGGUCUCCUAGCACAGAAGCAAUUUGAUCUUUAAUUAGGUAAGAAUGCGUAUAGCCGUCGUCCUCUUUGUAAAUAAAAUCAAUUGCACGAGCAAGAUUAAGAAUCGUCCCGAGCAGUGGUCGGGCAACGACGGUUGGCUUCAUCAUCAACUCCUCGUUAAUAUCUUUCCAUGCAUUUGCAACUUCUUCUUCAAACAUUUUAAUUGCCUCUUCCUUAGAGACACCAUGCUGCUUCGUGUAACAUUCAAUAGCUGACGCAACAUGUCCUCUCUUCUGCUCAAACUACAUAUAUAAUAACAUAUGGUUUAGUAUCGGUGCCUGUUUAGAUUGGUAUAUAUUAGGAGAUUUAUAAGUAAUUAUAGUAAUUAUUCAAAAAAUUAAAAGUUAAUUUUGAUGUAUACACACACACACCCCACUUUUCAGUGCGCAGAUUUUUUAAAAAUAUAAUAACAUAGAUUGGAGGGUUUUGAUAAAUUUUCUAUAAAAGUGCGGGGUUAUGUAAGCAGUGGAAAAAACUAUAAGGGGAUGUAGUGCCAUUUUCACUUAAUUUAAUUAGUAGUUAGUAAAGUAUUUUUUAUUUUGCAUACCUCAUGACCUUGCAUGUCAUCCAAGAGUCUGCAGAUAACUGAUGCUGCUUUUACAACCUUAGGGUUAUCGGAGAUCCAUUCAAAAACCUCUUUAGUUGCAAAAUCACCCAUCCCAAGGAAGGAAUUUGUUAUGACGAAUGUGUAAGCACAACUUGUUAGUGCAAUAGGCAUAUACUCCUCAAUUGUUGGAACGUAACCUUCACUGAACCAUUUGGCUUGAACAAAGUAUGCUCCAAUUACUUUUUGAUUCUGAGAAGCAAAACGCAGCUAAACCUUAGCCGUUAUAAAAACAAUAAUAAGAAAUAAGUUUUUAAAUUUUAAUAUACCUGUUGUGAUAUAUUAAUUUGAUCUAAUUAAUUUCUAAGAGCCAAUAAUUCAGUAAGAUUUAUGGUUGACGAGUAAGAUUUCUCAUCUCCAUCCGAACAAUACAAUAAAAAAGGAAACAGCCUCCAUCAUCGAACACACUUUUGAUAAGUUUUAUGUAACCUAAAAAAUAGCUCCAAGGGUUUAAGCUAAUUAUCCAAUUAAUUCUUACAUUUGUAAUAAUUCAGGGAGAGGUGUGAAAAUUUUAGCAAAAUUUCAGGGGGGUGAAUGAAAUAUGUCUAAAAUUUUGUGAAACUUAAAUUUACCCAUAGAUAUUUGAUGUAAUUUUGUGGGUGGAGUAGAUAUUCCUCCCAAAAUUGUGUACAAUACACAUAUCGGUAAUUUAAAGGAAAAAAAAAUAGGGAGGAUGAUGCAUACCGCCUCUUUUGCAUAACGUACGCAGUGUGAUCUUCCUUGCUUGGCCAUAUCUUCCUCAAUUUCAUUAAAAGCAUCUAAGAGUGUCCUGUAAAUCAAUUUCAUGUAUUCUGGAAGCGUAUCUACGGCCUCAAUAUUCCAUCUGGAAAUCAAUUUAAUAACCAUUUUAUAAUAAUAGCAACAAAAAUUUAAUUCUGAAAUUCAAAAUUAAUUAGCUAUACGCAGGGCACUAACCUUUGAACUGCUUCAGUAAAGAGGCUGAGUUCUUCAAGUGUACCAUACGCAUCAUAAGUAUCAUCUAUGAUGGAUAAUAUGUAAUUUAAUUGGGUCAUUAUCUUUCUCCCAAAUGCAUAUUGAGGCUCGAAGUAUGUCCCUAAAUCCCAAAAAUAUAACUCCACUAAUCUGUCUCUUGCAUAAGGUAGUUUUGUAGUGAAGUCUAAUUCUUUCCACCACCU